This 296-nucleotide unclassified non-coding RNA is filed under the name Densospora sp. RNAcentral describes it as "partial internal transcribed spacer region". The stretch from base 1 to 180 matches the Rfam family "Eukaryotic small subunit ribosomal RNA", at positions 636 to 1116 of the family's 1831-position model. The record is from RNAcentral. Lineage: Eukaryota; Fungi; Mucoromycota; Endogonomycetes; Endogonales; Densosporaceae.
AAGUCGCAACAAGGUUUCCGUAGGUGAACCUGCGGAAGGAUCAUUAACACGUCUCCAAAAUCAAGAACGAAAGUUGGGGGCCGUCGUAGUCAACUAUAAACUAUGCCAACUAGGGAUGGGUGGAUGUUGCUUUUUCGACUUCAUCCGCACCUUAUGAGAAAUCAAAGUCUUUGGGUUCCGGGGGCGAGCACCCCUCGGGUCCCUAAAGCGUGGAAUGAAGAAUGAUGACACACUAUUUAUGAUAGCGCUGACUAGAUCAGCAACCCGAACUGGGAACAAUGGAUAUCUUGGUUCUU